AAUUUCAAAUAGAAUGCUUGGUUUUUAGCUUUAGGCGUUUAAAUAACGAAAUGUUUGUUCUAAUUUAAGAGAGAUCAAAAUUCCUUUAGAGAAAACUUUUAUCUUAAAAUAAUAUGGUUUUUUUAUUAUUUUAUUUUUUAUAAAACAGGCGCCAAUAGAAGGAGCACUUUUGUUAGGCUGUGGUUUAGUUUUAAAUUUUAGCGAACCGAUACAUCCUAUUAGCUACAAAAAAAAUCAAAAGAGAAGCUGAAAGUAGCGGUGAGCGAAAUCAAGAAAAAAAAAAUUAGUGGGUUUAACCUUUGUGAGAUUGUUCAAUUAUAAUAUUUUAUUAUCUUUUAUAGAAAAAUUUCGUUUUCUAACUUUUAAGCUUUAAAAUCAAUAGUGUAAAAGUAUUGAGAAGGAAAGCACUUUGAAUUAAAACAUGGAAAAAAGUUAUAAUAAAUUUGAAAUUUUAGGUAUUCUUUUGUUUUAAACUAACUACUUUUUGCAUAACGGUUUCAUUAUUUAAAAUAAAGGGUGAGCUUUGAAAAAAUUUAAAAGCUAAUACUUUAAAACUUUAGGGUAGUUUUAAUCGUUUUUUUUAAACGCGAAGCCAAGCGAUCUAUUUAAAUACUAGCUGAAAUUGAUCUAAACGUCAUAUGGAAGGCUUAACUCGUAUCUGUUGCAAUAGAUUGGGAUGAUGUUUGAAUAGGAGUGAAAGGCUAAACAAGCUUGGUCAUAGCUUGAACUCUGCGAAAGCUAUUAUAGUAGCGCUGCUAUUUAAAAAAUGAGGUAAAGCGCUGGUUUCGUUUUGGGUGAUUUAACAGUCUUUCAAGCGUUACCAAACUUUGAAUGCAUUUAUAGGUGGGGCGUGUUUUAAAAGUGUAAAAAACUUAUUAGUGAGUUAGACUCUGAGCUAUAAAGUUCAAAGUCGAAAGAGAAACAACUCAGAUCGUUUGAUAAGAUAUUUAAAUAUGAUUCUAAUAACUCGAAAGUUUUUGGCUUUAAUAUAAAGCUUUUUAGCGUUUAUUUUGUUAUGGUUGGCUUAGAAACAGCUAUCGUUUAAUGAAAACGUAAUAGUUCAAAUAGUUAGCUCAAAAAUCCUUAAAAUUUAAGAUUUUAAGUUCGUCGAAGCAACGAGUAAAUCAGUUAGAUUGCGGUAGCAGAGCAUAUUGUAAUAUAAAAGCUGUGAAGUCAAAAUCAAUAAGGAUUCUGUGAAAAUUAGUAACAUCUAAAAUCUAUAAUGGUUCGUUUUUAAUCUAAGCUUUUUUAUUUCUGUUUUGAGUUUAUUCGAUCCUUAAGUAUAAAACGAAAGUUUUUUGUGAUAGGUUUAAAUACCAUGAAAUAUUUGCAUUCUUUUUUUUAAGAAAUUCGUCAUUUUUUUAUAAAAAAUUUGAUAGGGUAAAUUUUUAUACGCAAAUAUAGUUAUUUUACUAUAAGAAUAAAGCGAGAGUGUAACUUUUAUAUUCGUAUUUUAGCUCCUAUCUAUUCUUCAGGAAAAAGUAAGGUUUAAUUUAUUAUCGUAGCUUAUAAUCGCAUCAGGUAGAUCAAUAAAAAAUAUUAAAACGUAAAGAAUAAUAAAAGAUAAUGAACUCGGCAAUAAAUCUUCGUAACUUUGGAAAAAGAAGAUUAGGUUUAAUAGAUACUUUUAGGCCUUAAUAAUAAAACAAUGAGCGACUUUUUACUAAAAAAUUAAAAUAACGCAAAUUUUAUUAAAAAUGUAUGUUAUUUGAUCGGUUCUCAAUGCUUUAAUCUGAAAAAACGAUGUUUUACGCAUCUUAAUUUAAGGAAAAGCAAAUAGGUGUCUUAUUUUGAGGAUAAUAAUGUAGCGAAAUUCCUUGGCUUUUAAUUGAAGUCCUGCAUGAAGCCGUUAACGACUCAUUGACUGUCUCAUCUUUUAUUCUUGUGAAUUUGAAAUAAAGGUGAAGAUUCCUUUUUUCUCAAGCAAGACGAAAAGACCCUAUCAAUCUUUACUUAAUGCUGGUGUUGCUUUUUUAAAUUUAUUCGCUUAGUAGUAGAUAGUUGUUUUUGUUUUUAACUUUCUGAAAAACUAUCCUAUAUUUUGAUUGAGCUAUUUUAUUUCUUUAAAAAUAGCGCUUGCAUGUAAGUUUAUCUGGGAUAGAUUCCUUUUAAAGAGUAAUAAAGGAAUACAAAGAUAACCUUAAUUAAGAUCUCUUAAUUUUGAGCGAAAAAGUAAAUGUUUGUUUGACUGUGAGGCAUAAAUUGUUUGAGCAGCUACUUUAGUAGGUUUUAUUGAUCCGUUAGUUUUGAACGAAAAAGCUAUCGCAUAUUAGAUAAAAGAUACUGUAGGGAUAACAAGAUAAUAAGAACCAAGCGAUCAUAGCGACGUUUUUGAUUGUUAUAUCGAUGUCGGUUUAAAGCAUCCUGAUGAUGAAGGCGUUAUCAAGGGUUUAGCUGUUCGCUAACUAAGGCUUUCCAUGAACUGGGUUUAAAACGAUGUGAAUCAGUUUAGUUUCUAUCUGCUUGGUUUAUUAAGGUUUAUGGCUGUUUCCGCUAGUAUGAGAAGACCGACGGAAAGAAAGCCUAUAGUAAAAAACUUUUUUGGUUGUUUUGCCACGCUUUUAACUGUUUAAAAAUUGAAAGCAUUAACUUUUGAAACGUUGCCGCAACAACCUUAAAAUAGGUUUAAAACUAAAACUUUGAUCGGUCAAUAAUUAAAACUUUUAGAUUUAAAAAAAGAUAAUUGAUAACGAAUGUUUCUAUUAAAACUUUUUAACAUAACAAAAAUGAUAAUGAUAAUCG
RNAcentral lists this ribosomal RNA (2742 nucleotides) under Phaeocystis globosa. RNAcentral's name for it is "23S large subunit ribosomal RNA". It matches the Rfam family "Bacterial large subunit ribosomal RNA". Lineage: Eukaryota; Haptophyta; Phaeocystales; Phaeocystaceae. The record is from RNAcentral.